GUCCUGAAAACCUGAAGUUCUACUAACAACUGUUAUCCUCAAAGACCUUUUGUGAAGACAACUUAACAUAAAGUUUCAGAGACUCUCUCCCCGAAAGAGCUCUCGAAAGAGCUUAGUAUGGUAACUCUGUACAGAGGUUAUCUGCAAACUUUGGUACUUUUGGCUUGUGUAGUCCACCUGAGCAGGCCGGUAUGUGUCGAGGUGCCUUCGGACACAGAAGCAGUUCUGGGGAAGUCCAUGAGACUCACCUGCAUAUCCUGUAUGAAGAGAGAGGAGGUCAAACCAAAGACUCGUGUGGAUUGGUACUACAUGCCAAAAACAGAAGGAAACAUCAAACCUGAGAAAACUCAUAUAUACAAGUAUGAAGAGGAUAAGGGAACAGAUGUAGGUGAACAGUUUAAGGGCCGUCUAAUAUGGGAUGGAAGCCAAGACCUGCAGGAUCUCUCCAUUUGGAUCUUUAAUGUCUCCUAUAAUGACAGUGGUGUCUAUGAGUGCCAUGUUCUUCGUGAGUUUGAGUUUGACUUCUUCACUCCCUCAUUUUCCAUCAUGAGGAACAUCUCACUGAAUGUCAGAGAGAGAGCCUCUGCAGACCCCACAGCAAUCUACUCUGAGAUCAUGAUGUAUGUGCUGCUGGUGUUCUUGACCUUCUGGCUGCUGGUGGAAAUGGUAUACUGCUACAGGAAGAUCUCCAGGUCUGAUGACCAGGCGCAGGACACGGCAUCUUUUAUAUCCUGAUGGUUCCUUUAUUUCAUGGAGAAAGAGUUGUGCGAUGUGGACAAACUACCUAGCUGUCCCCUCUGAGCAGAAAGACAAUCCAGCUGCUCCCGUUACCGAAUAAAAGCAGGUUUCAUUGACACGGUAUUAAUUGAUCUCAACGGGAUGAUAUCAUAUGUCAGUGGAUACCGCAAUGAAGAUAUUACAACUACAAGCCAUGAAAUUCCUGCCAGCGACCUCCCCUGUGAAUCGACUGGGUCUCGUGAAGAGCCAGUCUCGAGUGUCCAAGUGCUCAUUUUCUUUUCCUCUCUUUUAUAACCUUUUUGCCUUUUUGCUAAAAUCAAGUGCUGUCACAAUUGCAGUAGCUUAAAUAGCAAAAAUGUUGUCUGAUAAGUAACAGCCGUGCUAUAUCUGGACCUGCUGUUGUAUGAACUUUUUAAACCUUUAAACCAUUUCCUAAGUAGUUACCAGUGCCUCUGUGAUUUCUGUAACCUAUUUAAACAGAUACUGUCGGACUUAAGCGGAGAACUCAUCCUACUCUUGUCCAGGCUGUCGAGUACAACAUGUUAUUUCUUUUUUUUAUAAGGAAAUUGGAUUGGAAAGCUUUUAUACUGUGUGGAUGUGCUUUUCUGUAUGCAUCAACCAAGUGGCAAUGUCACUGAACUAUGUCUUUUGCUAUGAAUUAAUCUCAAAGUCAUUCUGUUGCUCUCCUGCAGUAUAUAUAAAUCUUUAAUCCAUGUUCAGCUCUGAUGUCAAAGUAAAUUCAGUAGGUCAAGUCUAACUGCACUCAAUUGCUCUAAAAUGUAUUCUUGAAGCUUUGACUGCUGCUGACGUUCUGAAGUAGCAUUGCUAUUGAGAUUAAAUGUGUGCCUCUUUCUAUCGUGCAACGCUGCAGAAAUUUUUACCACUUGAUCAAAUUUGCAAGCGUCCAUUAUAGAUAUAAUAUCUUAUGUUGAGUGGACUACGUUUGAGCUAAUAAACACAUUGCAUUCCACAGGUUGUGGUGAAUGUCCUCUGAUUUUUUUCCAGAAGAAUUUUGCCACCACUUUAGUGUCAUUAUUUAGCCAAUAGGUCUAUGCUGCACAAUAGCCUGCUUUUAUGCUGCUAGACUACGAGGAUGUAGCAAAAGACAGUACUGACUCUGCAUCUUCUUAUUAUCUUAUUAUUUGUGACUGUGGUGUUGCUUAAGCACCCCUGGUGUUUCCAACACUCAAUAACACUGCAGAAAAGUGGAGACCAAAUAAUUCUUAAUUUGUGUUUGCUGGAACUAAACUCUCUGUGCUUUGAUUAGUCUUCACAUAGCUUGAGCUCAGACCUAUUGCACUUUUUUUUUUUUAUGACGUGGGAACCCAGCUGCUUCUUCUCUGCAAGGAUGGAGAAGCUGUGGACGACAGACAGCCAAAUGUAAAGCACAGAGAAAGAGACAGACUGUCACUUUGAGAGAGAUGUGAUGUACGCUGGCCUUUUAGGUAGAUGUGGCCAACAGCUGUAACAGAUAUAGCAGUAGCUGUUGUUAUAGCAACACAGGCAUGGCUGUAAGAAGGCAGAUUGCCUGACAGGAUAUCAGUGCGUGAGAGUUAAGACACUUUCAUCUGGAUUAUCAAUUAGUAAGCUGUAAAUAUGAAGAUGAUACUCGUAACAAAGUGUUUAGCUGUAAGAGGAAGUUAUUGGGUUUGAUGGACAUUUGGAGAACAGAAGACUAGUGUAUGGUGUAUUGUCUGGUCGGCUUAUUAGUAAUGAAACCAGUGUGGCCUUUAUCUAUCAAUCAAGUUCACAUAAAUUGGUUAUUGAUUGCCCUGCACCCCCCGCAAACUCUCCAACAGUAUGGCGAUAUGGUUUUGAGAUACACUGUAAAAGUGCAAUUGUGUAACCCUCUGCUCCUUCUCCCUCCCUCGUUCCCUGGCUGGCUGCAGCCCCUCCCCCUCCCAACACCACCUUUUUCGGCACUAUUGUUACAAUGUGCCUCCCUCAGGAUACAACCCAGUAAUGCGGCCCACAUCCUGCUGAAAUGCGUUUCAAUUACACCACCAAACCCUGAAAGCAUCACUGCUCAGGAAAGCAUUUAAAGUCACAUUAGACCAAAAAACUGACUAUAAAUACUCUUGGCUUGUGUUCAGAUAUAUGCCAGAAGUGCCUGUCUUAGCAAGGCCAACAGAGCUGCAGCUAUUUUCAUCCUGACGUAAGAAAACAUAACCUGAGCUCAUUAAUCAUUCUAUAGUUGAGAGUUGCUGUAUAUCUCUAAAGGUCUAUGUCUCCCUCUAGUGUAAAACUUACUGUGCCAUCAAAUGACUUGUGAUCAAAGUCAAGUGGUGGAUGACAAGAUGGUCUUUCUUUUUGUCAACUAUGAUUGCGAAAUCCAGCAAAACAUGUUGUGUGGGGAUGAGGAGAGGGCUGAGUUGAUGAGGACAGUUAUUUCUAACAUGCAAGUUGCUGGUGAUCACACUAUUUUGUAAUGAAUGUGCACAUUUAUGUCUGUAAUGUAUUCAGCCUCUGGGUUACAAGACUGAACAGUAAUGGUGGCAAGAGCAGUGAUACAGGAUGUUGUAUUCUGCUAAGCAUCAUAGUUAGACAGAAACACAGACUAUCGAUUGCUGAUCAAUAGUCACUUUGCUGGAUCUGAGUUCUAUCUGUUUAGCCUUAAAUUGUUAUGAUUAUGCGCGUAAAGUGAACGAUUAGUAUGCUUUGCUUCUCUGUUUCGUGACUAGGAUGGCUGUUUUUCUCUUUUACGCUCUGUGCUGCAUACUGGGAGUCAAGGUGGUUGUUAAGCAUGUGGAGUUCAUGUAUCUGUCACACACUCUGGAUGUGUCAUUCAAAAUAAAAUGUGAAAACAGGUUCUAUACUGGGUAGUCCCAGCCUGGUGCUUCAUGGUUGGAAUAUGGUGAUGUCGGCCAUAGACAUUUCUCACAACUACAUUAAGGUCAGGCAGCAGGGGCAAGCUCAGGUGAGCGACAGCUGUCCACUAACACUGCCAGGGAAGCCCGAGGGUGGAGCUGAGGACCGUAAAGGAGACUAACAGAACAUCAAACAUGUUUUAAUAGAACCACUGAUGCUAAAAACAACAAUAAUGACACCAAUAAAAGUAACAAAAAAAAUCUGUGAGUAAAGCUGUUUAAACUAAAUUAGCCAGUAACCCAUUGAGUUCACCAAAUUUAUAUUUUUCCAGUUCACUGAUUGAUGAAAGAAACAUAAAACUGGGGUGGAUGGUGGGUAAAACACAGAUCAGGUAAUCAGUAAAACCAAACAAACGGUUAGAGAAACUGUUUUCAAGAACUACAGAGAGAUUCUAUUGCCAAAGAGCAUAAUCAUCAGUGUGUAAGAAACCAAUAAAACUACUCAGGAGAAGAUUAUGAAAUCGUUCAGUUGUUUAUUCAAUAAAAAUAUAAGUGCAUGGGGUGAAGUUAAUCUUUAUCAUUCUAUUAUAUAGAUAUAGGCGAGCCAACAUUCUUGGACUGCCCAAACUGAACGAACCAUUGGAAAUAUCUGCUACUGUCAAGUAUUUCAACUUGUGGGCGCACCUCAUGCAUUGAUGAUCCUCCUUGAGCAUUUUUUACGAGAGCUUCCAGACUGUAUUGUAUCUUUUUGCCAAUUAUUCAAGAGAAUGUUUGAGAGUGUGGGUUUUUAAAAAAAAAAUUACUAUCAUUCAUACUUAAAACCCUUAAAGAUUUUAGUGUUUUAAUGAUGUUGAGCACCAGCUUUUAACAGAUGUAUUUAAAUGCUAUUGUGUGAAGCGGAACUCAUCAGAACACAACGUAUACAGAGAAGCAUCAAGCAGGCUUCCCCUCUUGCUUGGUAUUUGUAGGAUUUUGCCAUUGAGCCCCUCCUAAACAAAAUCAGACAGAAUCUUGAACGUUUGACUUAUUCUCUGCCAUAGUAAAGUGAGCAUGUGAGGGACUA
Molecule: RNA transcript, 4608 nt
Organism: Cololabis saira (Pacific saury)
Lineage: Eukaryota; Metazoa; Chordata; Actinopteri; Beloniformes; Belonidae
Gene: scn3b
Gene name: sodium channel, voltage-gated, type III, beta
Exons: 7
Source: RefSeq, a predicted model, not a curated record